This is a long non-coding RNA of Triticum aestivum (bread wheat), 1625 nucleotides long. RefSeq lists it as uncharacterized. Lineage: Eukaryota; Viridiplantae; Streptophyta; Magnoliopsida; Poales; Poaceae. The transcript has 3 exons. The record is from RefSeq and is a predicted model, not a curated record.
CCAGCAAAGAGUUAUGAAGACUUUAGUUCAUAGAUCUUCUACCUUGAUUUUCUGAUUGAUGGAGCUUGUCCAUACAGUAAUGAGCCAUCUUUAUUUGCUGAACUGUACUGUAAAAUUGGUUUCUACACUCUUUAAUUGGUUUAUGACUUGCUCAUAUAUUCAUGUAGCUAGGUUCCUGCAAAUUUGGUUUAAGAGAUGUCUACGUCUAGCUGGGCUCCAAGAAAGGAGAUUCUUUGUUGUCCUUUUAGGUUUGUUGGCUACCUCGGUUAAGUUUUUGCAUGUGAAUUUUUGUUUGUUCCUAUCCAAUAGAUGCUCAUAUCUAGCUAGAUUCGUAGGAUGUUUUGUUGCCUUUCUUAGUUUGUUUGGUACUUUCUUCUUUCUUUGGCGAUGAUGGGGGCAGAUUUAUCCGGGGUUCUUUUGCUAUUUGUAGAUGAAUCUUUUGUUCGUUUCUCGAUAUAGAUAAACCGAAACUGCUCCUUUUAGGCUAUCUAUGUGUCUGAAGCGCUUAACAUUGAAAUUAGUAUAUGUAGGCAUUUAUGCUACAAUGCUCCCAAUUUUUUCAAUGAUAGCUCUUGCUCCAAAGUGCACUUUCAAAGAGGUGGUGGAGGAAGAUUUCUUCUUUUUGUAUUCUUACUAUUCCACCUCCCCAUUUGAAGCUGCUAUGAAUCCAGGGUUCUUUUUUGUUUACAUUAUAAGCUCUUUUGUCAUACGCUGAUUCUGAUUUUUAUUCAAGUGUAAGCACUUGGAAGGAUGGCUUUAUUUUUCUUCUCAGGUGGGGAAUGCAAUGAUCGGGUGGUCACCUCCCUCAUAACUCAUAAGCAUCAUAUAUGGCAUCAACUUAAAGAACAUCAUACUGUACUGAACUUAUUUAUAUUCGUGUUCAGCCUGACUCAUUUUUGUUUUUUUCCUCAAUCAAGUGGUGCACCAGAGAGUGUUAUUGCUUGGUGUAGUCAGUUAAUUUCUUAGAUAGUUGCAUGCCCUUUCAUGGCUUUCAAAUAGUAUAUGUACUCAUUCACAAUUUCACUUUGUGUUGCCUACUCACAGAUGUCACUGGAAAUGUCACGGUUAUUUCUAAUGCUCACCAUUUUCCUGGCUUUCAUGGGGUCUGAUGUAAAUCAGUAAAUGGCUAUAUGACAAGAUCCGUUUGCCGAAGAAUGUGUUAUUUGAUUCUACUUUGCACCGGGUGAGUACAUCUACCGGACCCGGAGUUCUGCUUUCCAUCCAAGAGCAACUUUCAACUGCACACCUCUCUCUGUGACGGACGCCAGCAUUGGCUGUCCUCUUGCUCUCUCCGGCAAUGCUCAGGGCAAGCUUGCUUGGACUUCCCAGCCAAGCCAACUUCUGAAGCCAUGUCCUAUUAGUUAGGGAAGGGCAAUAUGGAACUACCAGGCCAAGUAUCAGGGACCAUGAAGUUUGACUAUCGUUUUACUUUGCCUAUUUUCUGUUAACAAGGUGUUUCUCUGGCUCAAGUCAAUCCCUUUUUUAUUUGCUACUGUUGGAGUGAGAAAUUGUUGUGCUUGACUGCAACUUGUCCCAUGAGAUUGCUGUUGAGAUCCUUAUUCUCACACUUGUAUUAUUAUGGAUACAGUUUUAAUUUUGUCUGCAAAGUACUGUGGUAAGUAUCA